This 362-nucleotide long non-coding RNA is filed under the name Ficedula albicollis (Collared flycatcher). RNAcentral's name for it is "lncRNA (ENSFALG00000024782.1)". Lineage: Eukaryota; Metazoa; Chordata; Aves; Passeriformes; Muscicapidae. The record is from RNAcentral.
GACCACCCAUCACUGUGCCACACUGACCACUAAGCACUGUGCCAUGCUGACCCUUUGCCAGUGCCAGUGUCACACUGACCCCCUGCCAACCCUGGGUGCCACAAUGACCACUAAGCACUGUGCCACACUGACGCCCUACCAACCCUGGGGUGCCACACUGACCCUCAAACAGCCCCAGGGUGCCACACUGACCACUCAGCACUCUGCCAUGCUGACCCUCUGCCAGCACCAGGGUGCCACACUGACCACUCAGCACUGUGCCACACUGACCACUCAGCACUGCGCCAUGCUGACCCUUUGCCAGUGCCAGUGCCAGUGCCACACUGACCACUCAGCAUUGUGCCACACUGACCACUCAUCAC